GAUGGAUUGAAGUUCAGUUUUAUUUCCUUUUCUGACUCAUUUAUUCUCUCCCAGGCAAAGUCAUUUGUACUCCAGCUACCUUCGAAAGGCAUGAUGCCCAGGCUAAGAAAAUUUUCCAAUCUUUUAAUGGGACUGCUGCAGAUGAAGAAAAACAUCACGUAUAGAAAACCAAUGAUCAAAAGUGACCACCCCUCUCUAGGACACUUAAAUACAAAGAGGAUCUCAGACAGUCAGGACGAUGUGAGUCUGCACAGUGAGGGCUGGUUAUUACUGAAGAGACUGGUGUUUUGGGCAGUGCUGUUGGUUUAGCAGACAUGAGCAUCCGGGCUUGCCUUCCAGCCACCGGCCUGGGCCCACCAUGCAACAUGCCGUGAUGACCAAUGAGUGACUCGGGCCUAUUGCCUGCCCUGAGCAAUUCCUCCAAGGAAUGAACGUGAAGAGCAGAGACUGAGGCUUAUCCCGGCUUCCCAUGGCCCACCCAGACCUCAGGAAAGGAUGGAGUUUGCUCAGCAGGUGGCCAUGGAGUCUGAACUGGCCGCUUUCUACCACAUAUCAAACUCAUGUGCCCCAAAGGGAAAAAUCAUGUGUGUGGGGGGCAGAAAAUC
This 605-nucleotide long non-coding RNA is filed under the name Ursus maritimus (polar bear). Its description in RNAcentral is "lncRNA (ENSUMAG00000004058.1)". Lineage: Eukaryota; Metazoa; Chordata; Mammalia; Carnivora; Ursidae. The record is from RNAcentral.